AGUCAUUGGGUAAUUAAAAACUCAAAGGCGAAAUAAAAGUAAAGAGUUGAGUUUAUGAUAAAGAAUUUAUUUUUUUUUCAUUUCUCUCUUAAGGGAAGAUGAAAAUUUAAUUAAUAAUAUAUUUUUAAUAUUUUAUUAAUAUAAAUUUUUCGCACUCCCAGGGCGCUUGUUUCACGCUUUGCGUGUCAAUGCGCACCUAGAGCGUACACGCUGAUACCCGAAAGAUGGUGAACUAUGCCUGGCCAGGACGAAGCCAGGGGAAACCCUGGUGGAGGUCCGCAGCGAUUCUGACGUGCAAAUCGAUCGUCGGAGCUGGGUAUAGGGGCGAAAGACCAAUCGAACCAUCUAGUAGCUGGUUCCCUCUGAAGUUUCCCUCAGGAUAGCUUGCGCUCGGUUGAGAAGAGUCUCAUCCGGUAGAGCGAAUGAUUAGAGGCAUUGGGGUCGAAACGACCUCAACCUAUUCUCAAACUCCAAAUAGAUGAGACCCCUGGCUUUCUUAAAAUUGAAGCCGUGGGAAUAGGAUCAGAGUGCCCAAGUGGGCCAAUUUUGGUA
Molecule: ribosomal RNA, 552 nt
Filed under: Harpagocoris sp. 00004616
Lineage: Eukaryota; Metazoa; Arthropoda; Insecta; Hemiptera; Reduviidae
Description: eukaryotic LSU rRNA
Rfam family: Eukaryotic large subunit ribosomal RNA
Source: RNAcentral